This 698-nucleotide ribosomal RNA is filed under the name Rhizocybe pruinosa. RNAcentral describes it as "eukaryotic LSU rRNA". The stretch from base 310 to 463 matches the Rfam family "5.8S ribosomal RNA". Lineage: Eukaryota; Fungi; Basidiomycota; Agaricomycetes; Agaricales; Tricholomataceae. The record is from RNAcentral.
AGGAAGUAAAAGUCGUAACAAGGUUUCCGUAGGUGAACCUGCGGAAGGAUCAUUAUUGAAUAAAACUUGGGUUUGGGCUGUUGCUGGCUCCUAGGAGCAUGUGCACGCUCAGACACCAUCUUUAAAACCCACCUGUGCACCUUUGUAGGCUUGAAUAACUAUUUUCGAGGUCCACCAGAACUCGGUUUGAGGAUUGCUGCCAAGCUGUCCUUGUAUAUUAAUUAUUCAGGCCUAUGUCUUUAUAACACACACCAUAUGAAUGUCUAGAAUGUUUAUUAUGUCGGGACUUUGUGCCUACAAAUCUAAUACAACUUUCAACAACGGAUCUCUUGGCUCUCGCAUCGAUGAAGAACGCAGCGAAAUGCGAUAAGUAAUGUGAAUUGCAGAAUUCAGUGAAUCAUCGAAUCUUUGAACGCACCUUGCGCUCCUUGGUAUUCCGAGGAGCAUGCCUGUUUGAGUGUCAUUUAAAUUCUCAACCUUCUCAGCUUUUGUUAGCUGGGUCAAGGCUUUGGAUGUGGGGGUUGCGGGCUUCACAGAAGUCGGCUCUCCUUAAAUGCAUUAGCCAGAACCUUUAGCUGACCAUCUCUGAUGUGAUAAUCUAUCUACAUCAUUGGGAAAGCAGCUCUCAUGUGAGAGAGAGGGUUCAGCUUCUAAUAGUCCUUUACUGGACAAUCUUAUUGACAAUUGACCUCAAAUCA